CUCAGCUCUCGUCAGCCUCCGGCUGUCCUUUGAAACCGAACGCCAUGCCUUCCAUUAAGUUGCAGAGUUCUGAUGAAGAGAUAUUUGAAGUUGAUGUGGAAAUUGCCAAACGGUCUGUGACUAUCAAGACGAUGUUGGAAGAUUUGGGAAUGGAUGAUAAAGGAGAUGAAGACCCAGUUCCUCUACCAAAUGUUAAUGCAACAGUAUUAAAAAAAGUUCAUUCAGUGGUACACCCACCACAAGGAUGACCCUCCUCCUCAUGAGGAUGAUGAGAACAACAAGCGAACAGACGAUAUCCCUGUUUGGGACCAAGAAUUCCUGAAAGUUGACCAAGGAACACUUUUUGAACUUAUUCUGGCUGCAAACUACUUAGACAUCAAAGAUUUGCUUGAUGUUACGUGCAAGACUGUUGCCAAUAUCAUCAAGGGAAAAACUCCUGAAGAGAUUCGCAAGACCUUCAAUAUCAAAAAUGACUUUACUGAAGAGGAGGAAGCCCAGGUACGCAAAGAGAACCAGUGGUGUGAAGAGAAGUGAAAUGUUGUGCCUGACACGGUAACACUUUUUUGGCCGGGGCUGCGUUUGAACCCACCACCUCCACUACAUGGGGCCAGUGCCCUACUCCUUUGAACCACAGGCGCCGCCCCAUUGAUUUUUUAUUUUCUUCCCCUCCUUGUGCUCUUUUUUUCUUCUUCCUUUCACAGUUACAUUAUUUGUAUUCAUUUGUAACCUUACUGUAUUCUCUUAUACUCUGAGUUCUUCAGGCUCUGAU
This is an RNA transcript of Nycticebus coucang (slow loris), 769 nucleotides long. It is a transcript of the gene named S-phase kinase-associated protein 1-like, with no coding region annotated. The record is from RefSeq and is a predicted model, not a curated record. The transcript has a single exon. Lineage: Eukaryota; Metazoa; Chordata; Mammalia; Primates; Lorisidae.